UUGAUUGUGUACACAUGUUGCUUUACCAUUCUUCACCGUUUUUUGGCCCAAUCAUGUUCAGAUUUGUGUAAUUUUUCUUAAAGCUUCUCCCGUUUGCACCGAUAAUCACUGCUUCAUCUUCUUCUUCAAUGUAAAACAACCAGGUAUUCUUGCUCUGUGAGAGUCGUCCUCGAAUUUUCCUUCCCCUAAAUUCUUACAUCGACUCAAAUAACAGGUCAAAGAUUAAUACAGGAAAAAAGAAGCAACAGGUCACUUGUGUGUGUGUUGUGUUCAAUCCAUCGGAAGGAAUACCAGUCGGAGGUCGCUUCCUCGCCGCCGAUUAUGUCAGCGUAACCUACUAUGAUGCUACAGCUCGAAUCUUCCAUGACUGACUCAAUUUGGGCACACGUUUUUCU
This 395-nucleotide long non-coding RNA is filed under the name Lactuca sativa (garden lettuce). Its description in RNAcentral is "long non-coding RNA (LSAT_LNC000069)". The record is from RNAcentral. Lineage: Eukaryota; Viridiplantae; Streptophyta; Magnoliopsida; Asterales; Asteraceae.